AGUGAACGCUGGCGGUAGGCCUAACACAUGCAAGUCGAACGGCAGCACAGUAAGAGCUUGCUCUUACGGGUGGCGAGUGGCGUACGUGUGACGAAUACAUCGGACUCUACUCUUUCGUGGGGGCUAACGUAGGUAAACUUACGCUAAUACCGCAUACCACCUACGGGGGAAAGCAGGGGAUCUUCUGACCUUUCGCGUUUGCAUGCGCCGAUGCCGGAUGAGCUAGUUGGCGGGGUAAAGGCCCACCUAGGCGACGAUCCGUAGCUGGUCUGAGAGGAUGAGCAGCCAUACUGGAACUGAGAGACGGUCCAGACGCCUACGGGAGGCAGCAGUGGGGAAUAUUGGACAAUGGGCGCAAGCCUGAUCCAGCCAGACCGCGUGAGUGAAGAAGGCCUUCGGGUUGUAAAGCCCUUUUGUUGGGAAAGAAAAGCAGCAGGUUAAUAACGCGCUGUUCUGACGGUACCCAAAGAAUAAGCACCGGCUAACUUCGUG
This 492-nucleotide ribosomal RNA is filed under the name uncultured bacterium. RNAcentral describes it as "partial 16S ribosomal RNA". It matches the Rfam family "Bacterial small subunit ribosomal RNA", at positions 29 to 507 of the family's 1533-position model. The record is from RNAcentral.